RNAcentral lists this ribosomal RNA (249 nucleotides) under uncultured prokaryote. RNAcentral's name for it is "partial 16S ribosomal RNA". It matches the Rfam family "Bacterial small subunit ribosomal RNA", at positions 524 to 772 of the family's 1533-position model. The record is from RNAcentral.
UACGGAGGAUGCAAGCGUUAUCCGGAUUUAUUAGGUUUAAAGGGUGCGCAGGUUGUUUGAUAAGUCAGUGGUGAAAGUCUGUCGCUUAACGGUAGGAUUGCCAUUGAUACUGUUAGACUUGAAUAUGGAUGAGGUAGGCGGAAUGUGUAGUGUAGCAGUGAAAUGCAUAGAUAUUACACAGAACACCGAUUGCGAAGGCAGCUUACUAAUCCAUCAUUGACGCUGAGGCACGAAAGCGUGGGGAUCAAA